This 468-nucleotide ribosomal RNA is filed under the name uncultured bacterium. RNAcentral's name for it is "partial 16S ribosomal RNA". It matches the Rfam family "Bacterial small subunit ribosomal RNA", at positions 28 to 507 of the family's 1533-position model. The record is from RNAcentral.
GACGAACGCUGGCGGCGUGCUUAAUACAUGCAAGUCGAACGGAAAGGCCCUGCUCUUGUGGGUUGGUCGUUUGCCGAACGGGGGAGUAACACGUGAGUAACCUGUCCUUGACUUUGUGGUAUCUUCUGGAGACUGCGGAUAUUACCGCGUAUGAUCUCUUGAUGCGUAUUGUGGAAUGGUGAGUUUCGGCGGUUGGGGCUGGACUCGCGGCUUAUCAGCUUGUUGGUGGGGUAGUGGCUUACCAAGGCUAUGACGGGUAGCCGGCCUGAGAGGGUGACCGGCCACAUUGGGACUGAGAUACGGCCCAGACUCCUACGGGAGGCAGCAGUGGGGAAUAUUGCACAAUGGGCGGAAGCCUGAUGCAGCAACGCCGCGUGCGGGAUGACGGCCUUCGGGUUGUAAACCGCUUUCGCCUGUGACGAAGCGUGAGUGACGGUAAUGGGUAAAGAAGCACCGGCUAACUACGUG